AACGAACGCUGGCGGCAUGCCUAACACAUGCAAGUCGAACGAAGGCUUCGGCCUUAGUGGCGCACGGGUGCGUAACGCGUGGGAAUCUGCCCUUAGGUUCGGAAUAACGGCUGGAAACGGCUGCUAAUACCGGAUGAUAUCGCGAGAUCAAAGAUUUAUCGCCUGAGGAUGAGCCCGCGUUGGAUUAGGUAGUCGGUGGGGUAAAGGCCUACCAAGCCGACGAUCCAUAGCUGGUCUGAGAGGAUGAUCAGCCACACUGGGACUGAGACACGGCCCAGACUCCUACGGGAGGCAGCAGUGGGGAAUAUUGGACAAUGGGCGCAAGCCUGAUCCAGCAAUGCCGCGUGAGUGAUGAAGGCCCUAGGGUUGUAAAGCUCUUUUACCCGGGAAGAUAAUGACUGUACCGGGAGAAUAAGCCCCGGCUAACUCCGUGCCAGCCGCCGCUGUAA
Molecule: ribosomal RNA, 449 nt
Filed under: uncultured bacterium
Lineage: Bacteria
Description: partial 16S ribosomal RNA
Rfam family: Bacterial small subunit ribosomal RNA
Source: RNAcentral